This 460-nucleotide ribosomal RNA is filed under the name uncultured bacterium. RNAcentral describes it as "partial 16S ribosomal RNA". It matches the Rfam family "Bacterial small subunit ribosomal RNA", at positions 338 to 795 of the family's 1533-position model. The record is from RNAcentral.
CCUACGGGUGGCAGCAGUGAGGAAUAUUGGUCAAUGGACGUAAGCCUGAACCAGCCAAGUCGCGUGCGGGAUGAAGGUUCUAUGGAUCGUAAACCUCUUUUGUAAGGGAAUAAAGUGCGGGACGUGUCCCGUGUUGUAUGUACCUUAUGAAUAAGGAUCGGCUAACUCCGUGCCAGCAGCCGCGGUAAUACGGAGGAUCCGAGCGUUAUCCGGAUUUAUUGGGUUUAAAGGGUGCGUAGGCGGCUUUUUAAGUUAGCGGUGAAAUUCUGGGGCUCAACCAUAGAAUUGCCGUUGAUACUGGGAGGCUGGAGGAUGUUUGAGGCAGGCGGAAUGUAUGGUGUAGCGGUGAAAUGCUUAGAGAUCACGCAGAACCCCGAUUGCGAAGGCAGCUUGCCAAGCCAUGACUGACGCUGAGGCACGAAAGCGUGGGGAUCAAACAGGAUUAGAUACCCUGGUAGUC